AAUCCGGAUAAUCAAGGCUGAGGUGUGAUGACGAGGCACUACGGUGCUGAAGUAACAAAUGCCCUGCUUCCAGGAAAAGCCUCUAAGCAUCAGGUAACACGAAAUCGUACCCCAAACCGACACAGGUGGUCAGGUAGAGAAUACCAAGGCGCUUGAGAGAACUCGGGUGAAGGAACUAGGCAAAAUGGUGCCGUAACUUCGGGAGAAGGCACGCUGGUGUGUAGGUGAAGCCCCUGCGGGUGGAGCUGAGACCAGUCGAAGAUACCAGCUGGCUGCAACUGUUUAUUAAAAA
Molecule: ribosomal RNA, 292 nt
Filed under: Klebsiella quasipneumoniae
Lineage: Bacteria; Pseudomonadati; Pseudomonadota; Gammaproteobacteria; Enterobacterales; Enterobacteriaceae
Description: partial 23S ribosomal RNA
Rfam family: Bacterial large subunit ribosomal RNA
Source: RNAcentral